RNAcentral lists this ribosomal RNA (498 nucleotides) under uncultured bacterium. Its description in RNAcentral is "bacterial SSU rRNA". It matches the Rfam family "Bacterial small subunit ribosomal RNA", at positions 28 to 506 of the family's 1533-position model. The record is from RNAcentral.
GAUGAACGCUAGCGGCAGGCUUAAUACAUGCAAGUUGAGGGGCAGCAAUGAUAUACGCGAGUAUAUUGAUGGCGACCGGCGGACGGGUGAGUAAUAGGUAGGAAUCUACCCUUAAGACGGGGACAACCCGGGGGAAACUUGGGCUAAUACCGGAUGAGAGUGCGAGAGAUUGCAUUUAAAAGGAUGGCGAAAGUUGUCGCUUAGGGAUGAGCCUGCGGUCUAUUAGUUAGUUGGUGAGGUAAGAGCUCACCAAGGCGAUGAUAGAUAGGCGGCCUUAACGGGUGGUCGCCCACACUGGGAUUGAGAUACGGCCCAGACUCCUACGGGAGGCAGCAGUCGAGAAUAGUCUACAAUGGCCGGAAGGCUGAUAGUGCGACGCCGCGUGAACGAGGGAGCCCUUCGGGGUGUAAAGUUCUUUUCUAUUACGAGCAGUGCUAUAUAUAUGGAUAGUAUAUAUAGAGGGAUAGUAGUAUAGGAAUAAGCAACGGCUAACUCCGU